GACGAACGCUGGCGGCGUGCUUAACACAUGCAAGUCGAACGGAAAGGCCCUGCUUUUGUGGGGUGCUCGAGUGGCGAACGGGUGAGUAACACGUGAGUAACCUGCCCUUGACUUUGGGAUAACUUCAGGAAACUGGGGCUAAUACCGGAUAGGAGCUCCUGCUGCAUGGUGGGGGUUGGAAAGUUUCGGCGGUUGGGGAUGGACUCGCGGCUUAUCAGCUUGUUGGUGGGGUAGUGGCUUACCAAGGCUUUGACGGGUAGCCGGCCUGGGAGGGUGACCGGCCACAUUGGGACUGAGGUACGGCCCAGACUCCUACGGGAGGCAACAGUGGGGAAUAUUGCACAAUGGGCGGGAGCCUGAUGCGACAACGCCGCGUGCGGGAUGACGGCCUUCGGGUUGUAAACCGCUUUCGCCUGUGACGAAGCGUGAGUGACGGUAAUGGGUAAAGAAGCACCGGCUAACUACGUG
Molecule: ribosomal RNA, 468 nt
Filed under: uncultured bacterium
Lineage: Bacteria
Description: partial 16S ribosomal RNA
Rfam family: Bacterial small subunit ribosomal RNA
Source: RNAcentral